AGUGAACGCUGGCGGUGGGCCUAACACAUGCAAGUCGAACGGAAGCACAGGAAGAGUUUUCUCUUACGGGUGGCGAGUGGCGGGCGGGUGAGGAAUAGAUCGGAAUCUACUUUUUCGUGGGGGAUAACGUAGGGAAACUGACGAUAAUACAUAAUAUAAUGUAAGGGUGAAAGCAGGAGAUAUUAGGAGCUUUUGGGUUUGAAUUAGACCGUGCCGCAUUAGCUAGUUGGUAGGGUAACGGCUUACCAAGGCAACGAUGCGUAGCCGACCUGAGAGGGUGAUCGGCCACACUGGAACUGAGACACGGUCCAGACUCCUACGGGAGGCAGCAGUAGGGAAUCUUCCGCAAUGGGCGAAAGCUUGACGGAGCAACGCCGCGUGAGUGAUGAAGGUCUUCGGAUCGUAAAACUCUGUUAUUAGGGAAGAACAAAUGUGUAAGUAACUAUGCACGUCUUGACGGUACCUAAUCAGAAAGCCACGGCUAACUACGUG
This 492-nucleotide ribosomal RNA is filed under the name uncultured bacterium. Its description in RNAcentral is "partial 16S ribosomal RNA". It matches the Rfam family "Bacterial small subunit ribosomal RNA", at positions 29 to 507 of the family's 1533-position model. The record is from RNAcentral.